GUCGGGGGUCGGUGGAAGGCUGGUUAAACCGUUUGGUUUUCGACCAAUAGGACCCGGGUUCGAUUCCCGCAUUGGACA
This 78-nucleotide transfer RNA is filed under the name Cordylochernes scorpioides. Its description in RNAcentral is "tRNA-Glu". Lineage: Eukaryota; Metazoa; Arthropoda; Arachnida; Pseudoscorpiones; Chernetidae. The record is from RNAcentral.